AUACGGAGGGUCCAAGCGUUAUCCGGAAUCAUUGGGUUUAAAGGGUCCGCAGGCGGUCUAUUAAGUCAGAGGUGAAAGCCCAUCGCUCAACGAUGGAACUGCCUUUGAUACUGGUUGACUUGAGUUAUACGGAAGUAGAUAGAAUAAGUAGUGUAGCGGUGAAAUGCAUAGAUAUUACUUAGAAUACCGAUUGCGAAGGCAGUCUACUACGUAUAUACUGACGCUGAGGGACGAAAGCGUGGGGAGCGAACAGGAUUAGAAACCCUAGUAGUCC
RNAcentral lists this ribosomal RNA (274 nucleotides) under uncultured bacterium. RNAcentral's name for it is "partial 16S ribosomal RNA". It matches the Rfam family "Bacterial small subunit ribosomal RNA", at positions 523 to 796 of the family's 1533-position model. The record is from RNAcentral.